Meriones unguiculatus (Mongolian gerbil) is the source of this 4165-nucleotide long non-coding RNA. RefSeq lists it as uncharacterized. The record is from RefSeq and is a predicted model, not a curated record. Lineage: Eukaryota; Metazoa; Chordata; Mammalia; Rodentia; Muridae. The transcript is spliced from 4 exons.
CUUGAUUUCGAAGGAGAGGGACAGCCUGCACAAAACAGCCUGUGGUCGAGUCAGAGGAGCCUGCUCCAGAAUGCGCGCUCCCUCUCCUGCACUCCUCCCAGCAAACGCAGGUCUCUGAAGAUGUUCUCUGAAGAUGUGAAAAAUAUUAUUAGAGCCUCGAUGGGAUGGAUUGAAACCCCUCUAAAGGUGGUGUGACUAAAAAAGAAGUUUCAAUACAGACUCAAGAAAUAGAACCUGCAGAGCAUCUGUCAGCAUGUGAACGAGGAGCAGCUGAAGAGCCAAGAGAAAAAGAAUCUGAGCCAAUGUAGGCCCAAGUGUUCCAGUGCAUGGAAGAGACUCCAAAGCUGGCCAGGAGACAGAACUAACUUUCUGGUGCCUUUGAGGAAAGUGACAGAGGAGAUGCCAAAGUCACAAAGUACCCGACCCAGCAAACGUGCGUGUAUAGGGGCCGCCAUGUGAAACAUUCAGCGGAAGCCAUGAUCUGACAGAACAUGAAUUCACUGACCCCUGAAGGAACCAGGGAGAGCUGAAAGACUGGCUAUCCAUGAUCUGGAAAGAUAUCUGCAGCAGCCACCGUCCUCUGCUAAUCCUGCAGACCAGCGUCCUCACCUCCUCUGAGGGGAUUCCCCACUCCACCCGCCCUUAGGCUCUUGUCUGUGCUUUGCUUUAGUGGGCGCCAAAGUGCAAUUUCAUGUCUUGCACAAAUGGAAGAUUGACUAUUUGUUGUUGAACUGAAAUAGCUUACAUGAUUCUGAACAAAACAACUUUUAAAAAUUAAAGCCUACAGAGCAAAAUGAAACUACAAAUCAGAAUGGCCAUGGGGACAGACACUCAGAAGAGUGGCCUGCAUGGGAUUUUUGUUGUUGUUUUCUUUUUUGUUUUGUUUUCUGAAAAGACAGGGUGCUGACCUUGCCAGGGGCUGCGGGAUUCGCCAGGGCCUAGACGCAAUUUAGUUCCAUAUGAGUCAAACAAUGUAUUAGAACUUUUUUGGGGAAUUUUCCAUUUGAGAAAUAUUUUUUUUUCUAUAAAUAGUCCAUGAAACAAAAUUUCAAAAUCAUAAUGAGACUUCUCUAAUCAAAUCUGUCUCCUAAAAUCAGAAUUCAUUUUGGCAGCUCUCUUGACAACAGCAGCACAAUCUGCCACCUGGCCCUGAUGUGCCUGGGACUCUGUGCAUCCCUGUAGGGAACAGCUUAGCUAAGCCGCCAUUUUGGAAAUGGUCCCCCUUUCAUCAGAGUAUAACAGAUUUUUACAUUACACAAGGAAAGAGGAGAAAUCAUAUAGCUUUCUUAGAGACAGAUGCCCUCUCCAAUGUAUUCCAAAUUCAGUUCAUCUGAAAAUAUAUUUAACCUGCUUAUAAUUCCAUAGGGCAUUGGGUCAUAACCGGAACCCUUCUGAAGAAAGAGGACUACACUUUGUGAAGCUAUAUACUUGAAAGAAAUGUCAGUGUAAUGGCUUCAUUCUUUUUGAGACUCCAUUACAAGGUACUCCAAGGCCAAGUUUCUGGACAUCUCUGGAAAUGUCUUAUUGGCUAUCAGAGCAAGCAAGCAGUGUAGGCAUGCCUAUUGCUGGUUCUGUAGGAAGGAGCUAUGAGGAGGUUUGGGUUAUCCUAGACCAACUAUGUUGUCAGAGAAAUUCUCAGUAUUCAAGAAAAGACUACAUAGCAAGGUGUUUCAGUCCUAUAGAAACUGAGAUCUGGGAUGUUCUGAGACUAGUUGAAUAUUUAAAUCAAGACAUUACACUUAAUGAAAGCCUAUUGGAUUUUCAAAACAAGGUCCCUGACUUCCCUUAAACUUCUCCCACAUUAGAUAUUAUAGUCGCUGAAUACAAAUAUUAUUUAAGGUUGGCUCAGUGCUGUGAGAACUAUGUUGCUGGAACAAACAGAUCAUGAGAGCUCUAGAAUGUUUAUUUUCCUCGUGAUGAUUUAGAUCAGAUUUAGAUCAGGGUUGACAGGACUGCCUUUAUUUGGGGAUACAGAUACUUAAGAAGAUUUCAUUUCUAUCAUAGUUAAUGCAGUUUUUUUCUUAAUGCUUCCACUUUAUAAAGUGAGAAAAAUCUGUUUUCUUCCUGAGAACAAAGGUGUCAUGUCCAUCCCUCACCCUCCAGACACCCCAGGUUCUUUUAAGUUGUGCGUCAAAUCAUCAUAGCUCCCUGCAACAAGCCCUAUUUAAAAAAAAAGGAUUUGCGUGUUUUCGAUUUAUUUUUGAGGUUAUAAUAUAAUGACAUCAUUUUCCUCCUCCAUUUUCUCUUUUCAAAUUCUCCUUGUUCUUUUUUCAAAUUUAUGGUUUCUUUUCUCACUAAUCUCUGUUACGUGCAUUUAUGUCUAUGUAAAUAUAUAGGUAUUGAUAAACAUAACCUAGUCUGUAAAAUGCAACAUGUAUGUAUGCUUUCAGGCCUGACUCUUUGGUAGGUGUGCUCCUCCCUGGGGAAGACUCUUUCUCUCACUGUCAACAUUCCUUAGUUGUCUGUAGUUCUUUGUGUAGAGUUGAGGCCUCCUGGUCUUUCCCUCACUCCCCUUCGGUAUAUCCUUUACUGUCAUCCAUGUUAAACUAAUGUUUAAGCAGUCAUGUUGGUGAGACUUCACGGGUGUAGCUCCUGACAUUAUUAGAAGACAGAGCCUUAGAGAAAACUCCCUGAUCCUCUCUCUAGCUCUUACACUAUUUCCUCUUCCACAAUAUUCCCUGAGACUUAGGUGAAGGAGUGCUUUGGAGAUGUAAACGUUGGGACGAGGCUCCACAGUUCUCCAUUUUGAGUGGUUGUGGUUUUCAUUUCCAAAAUAUUUAUUUAUUAUUAUUAUUGUUAUUAUUAUUAUUUACAACCUAUUCACUUGUAUCCCAGUUGUAGCCCCCUCCCUCAUCCCUCCCAAUCCCACCCUCUUUUCUGCUCCCUCCCCUCCCCCUCUCCCCUAGUCCACUGAUAAGGGAAGUCCUCCUUCCCUACUGGCUGACCCUAGCCUAUCAGGUCCCAUCGGGACUGCCUGGCUCCUCUUUCUCUGUGGGCUGGCUAGGUUGCCCCACCAGGAAGAAGUGAUCAAGGAGCAGGCAACAGAGUUCCUGUCAAAGACUGUCUCUUCUCCUCUCACUAGGGAACCCACAUGGAGUCUGAGCUGUCUAAAGGCUACAUCUGAGGAGAGGGUCUAGGUCCUCUCUAUGUAUGGUUUUUGGCUGCUACAUCAGUCUCUGCAGUCCCCCCUGGGCCCUCCUUUUUUUUUUUUUUUUUCUUUGUUGGUCUCCUUGUAUGGAUCCUGUUCCCUCUGGUCCUUUUAUAUCCCCCUUCUUCCAUGAGACUCCCUGUGCUCUGUCCAAAGUUUGGCUAUGAGUCUGUGCAUAUGCUUCAAUCCCCUGUUGGUUGGAGUCUUUCAGAGGACAUCUGUGGUAGGCUCCAGUCAUUUCCUAACUUCUACUGCUUCCAGUGUCUAUCCUGUUUUCCUUCUGAAUGAGAAUUAAGAAUCUUCCCUAGAAUCCUUCUUGUCAUUUAGCUUCUUUAGAUCUGUAGAUUUUAGUAUGUUUAUCCUAUAUAAUAUGACUGAUAUACACUUACAAAUGAGUAUACACCAUGUAUGUCUUUCUGCUUCUGUGAUACCUCACUCAGGAUGAUUUUUUUCUAGUUCCAUCAUCCAUUUGCCUGCAAAGUUCAUUAUUUCCUUGUUUUUAAUGGUUGAGUAGUAUUCCAGUGUGUAAAUGUACCACAAUUUCUGUAUCUAUUCUUCAGGUGAGGGGCAUCUAGGUUGUUUCCAGAUUCUGGCAAUUACAAAUAAAACUGCUAUGAACAUAGUAGAGCAAAUGUCCUCAUUGUAUGGUUGAACAUCUUUUGUAUCUAUGCUUAGCUAUGGUAUUUUGAGGUAGCACUUUUCUCAGUUUUCUAAGAAAUACUUAGAAAUAUUUGUUAUUAAAAAGAGUAAUAGAGUAGGAAGUCAUGACUUUGGAUUGGGGAGGGAUUCGUUCUUUAAACCCUUAGGAGGUCAACUUAGUCUAUUCAGAUAAAGUAGCAAACAGGAAACAGGAAACUUGUGGCUGAAAUCCCAGCUAUUUUAUAACAGAGUCUCCCCAGAUCUUUUAAGACAGAGUCUCACUAUUGUAGCCAUGGCUGGCCUGAAACACACUAUGUAGACCAAGCAAGCCUUGAAUUUACAAAGAUCUGCCUCUCCUCCAAGAACUGAGAUUAAAGA